GCAGGCUGCAACCCGCCUGCGUGAAGUUGGAAUCGCUAGUAAUCGCGGAUCAGCAUGCCGCGGUGAAUACGUUCCCGGGCCUUGUACACACCGCCCGCCACACCAUGAGAGUCGGGAACACCCGAAGUCCGUAGCCUGACCGCAAGGGGGCGCGGCCGAAGGUGGGUUCGAUAAUUGGGGUGAAGUCGUAACAAGGUACC
This 200-nucleotide ribosomal RNA is filed under the name uncultured bacterium. Its description in RNAcentral is "partial 16S ribosomal RNA". It matches the Rfam family "Bacterial small subunit ribosomal RNA", at positions 1300 to 1500 of the family's 1533-position model. The record is from RNAcentral.